UGAUGUAAACUGCUUCUGUUGGACUUCAUCUUGCAGCUCCUCGUCCCAUAUACUGAGCUCUUUCAGGGGGCCCGCGUGUCCCAGUGAGAGAGCAGCACAGGACCAAGACAGUCUGCAGUGGACAUGAAUAAUGCAUGGCGCUAAUGCAGCUAGCACGGCCGCCGACCGCUUUCUUCUACUCGAGACCAUCGCCAAAGCAGGCAACAAGCGCAGAAAACUAGAGGGGACACUGGAAAAGACAGAUGGGGGUUGCAGAGAGUUGGCCUACAUUGUGGCACUGCUGCCAGUCAACUGUGCCAUCACCAUGGAGCUGUCACAUCAAUGAGGUCAUGCCUCCCUUUCCUCUGCAACAUAGUGUACGGUGUUGCUUUGUGUCAUGCUGGAAAAAGAAGAGCCUUCCCAAGGAGAGAAAACAAAGAAAAUAUUGUG
Long non-coding RNA from Syngnathus acus (greater pipefish), 429 nucleotides. RefSeq lists it as uncharacterized. The transcript is spliced from 3 exons. The record is from RefSeq and is a predicted model, not a curated record. Lineage: Eukaryota; Metazoa; Chordata; Actinopteri; Syngnathiformes; Syngnathidae.